Molecule: ribosomal RNA, 301 nt
Filed under: uncultured bacterium
Lineage: Bacteria
Description: partial 16S ribosomal RNA
Rfam family: Bacterial small subunit ribosomal RNA
Source: RNAcentral
CAGCAGCCGCGGGAACACGAAGGGGGCUAGCGUUGUUCGGAAUUACUGGGCGUAAAGCGCACGUAGGCGGAUAUUUAAGUCAGGGGUGAAAUCCCAGAGCUCAACUCUGGAACUGCCUUUGAUACUGGGUAUCUUGAGUAUGGAAGAGGUGAGUGGAAUUCCGAGUGUAGAGGUGAAAUUCGUAGCUAUUCGGAGGAACACCAGUGGCGAAGGCGGCUCACUGGUCCAUUACUGACGCUGAGGUGCGAAAGCGUGGGGGGCAAACAGGAUUAGAUACCCCAGUAGUCCCUGUCUCUUAUAC